RNAcentral lists this long non-coding RNA (1293 nucleotides) under Chrysolophus pictus (golden pheasant). RNAcentral's name for it is "lncRNA (ENSCPIG00010008482.1)". The record is from RNAcentral. Lineage: Eukaryota; Metazoa; Chordata; Aves; Galliformes; Phasianidae.
CUGUCUCCAGCCCUUCUCCAACAUGUAAGAGCUUCCUCAUCUUUCACUCAGACUUGCAUGGGUGACAGUCCUGCUUUGUUAGAUUACCCACACCUGAGAAACAAAAGACUCAGAAGCAUUUGUUCAUACAGUAACACAAAUCUAAAUUCUUUUUUUUUUAAUCUUCUUGCUCUGUAAGUGUUCUCAUUUCCUUCAUUAGGAACAUUCAUCUGAGAUUGCAUCUCUUACUUCACAAAGUCUGAAAGAUCCAAUAUAGUAGUUAUCCUUUAUUCCCUGCUAUUACUCAGAAAUUAUAUAAAGAAAAAUCACACUUCCCAACUAAUAUACAACAAAGAAGAAUAACAGACUUCUCACUUAGUCACUGAAUUACUUGCCAUCUUCAAACUGUCAACAAAUUCUUGAUGGAAGUAUUCUGUGAUUCACAUCUUAAACAAUAAUUUCCCUGAUCACUUUUACCUUAAGGUACUCCCUUGACUGUUUAGAGAGGCUGGUUAGUUUGUUUGGGGUUUGAUACCAUAUCAAUGAAAUAUGCUUGAAAGUAUACAAGGAGAUCAAUUCUACGAAGCUCAAGUUCAUUGAUUUGAAGUAUUUCACCCUGAGGUCAACCAGGACUUGUGGAGUCUCAUCAUGAUGAUUUCCAUGUGUGCUUGGAUGCUGAAGCAGCCCAGAUGGAAAAGGAUGGCUGGCAGAAAGUGAGUUACCACUCAGGGAAAGCAAAGGCUGAACAACCAUGGCUCUCAAGACCGAGGAAGACAGUGUGGUGCAGAACUCCCCAGGCAGCAUUAAUCUGCAAUGCUACGCUUAUGCCCUAUGGCUCAGUGACACCAGUGUCUUCGUCAAGCCCCAGGACACUUCCGGACAUACCAAAUCAGUUCACUGACCAGCAUCACUUCAAGUUUUACCAGCUACUUUUCAUCCAGAAACUGCAUAAUCAUAAUCAUGCUGCUGUCAUCCUCCUUUGAAGACAUUAGUUCUAGGAGAAUGCCUUCUCCAUUCUCUUGGCAGCUAAGCCUAUAGCACAUCAUCAUCUCCUCUACUCCUUGACCCUAAACAAAGACCCUGUUUUAUCAUAUGACCUCCUGGGUUUUUUUUCAUCUAAACUCUUUGCUCCAUAUUUUGAGCCAUAUUAUUAUAGAUCCCAUGGAAUGUUUGAAUACUGCAAUGUUCAACUUCUCUUUUCAUGGCAUUGCUUCCCUAUGAAUACUGCAAGUAUAGCGGGGAAAAGAAUUACUUGUCCAUGGGCCACCUUGAGAAACAACAUUAGCCUGCAAAUAAAUGACAUGAAACUCAACA